CGCCAGACUCCUACGGGAGGCAGCAGUGAGGAAUAUUGGUCAAUGGCCGCAGGGCUGAACCAGCCAAGUCGCGUGAGGGAUGACGGUCCUAUGGAUUGUAAACCUCUUUUGUCAGGGAGCAAAGGGCGCCACGUGUGGCGUUUUGCGAGUACCUGAAGAAAAAGCAUCGGCUAACUCCGUGCCAGCAGCCGCGGUAAUACGGAGGAUGCGAGCGUUAAUCGGAAUUACUGGGCGUAAAGGGUGUGCAGGCGGCUGAGUAAGACAGAUGUGAAAUCCCCGGGCUUAACCUGGGAACCGCAUAUGUGACUGCUUGGCUAGAGUGCGUCAGAGGGAGGUGGAAUUCCACGUGUAGCAGUGAAAUGCGUAGAUAUCGAGAGGAACACUCGUGGCGAAGGCGGGUUCCUGGACAUUAACUGACGCUGAGGCACGAAGGCCAGGGGAGCGAAAGGGAUUAGAUACCCCUGUAUAA
This 469-nucleotide ribosomal RNA is filed under the name uncultured bacterium. Its description in RNAcentral is "bacterial SSU rRNA". It matches the Rfam family "Bacterial small subunit ribosomal RNA", at positions 329 to 793 of the family's 1533-position model. The record is from RNAcentral.